This 253-nucleotide ribosomal RNA is filed under the name uncultured bacterium. RNAcentral's name for it is "partial 16S ribosomal RNA". It matches the Rfam family "Bacterial small subunit ribosomal RNA", at positions 524 to 776 of the family's 1533-position model. The record is from RNAcentral.
GACAGAGGUGCCGAGCGUUAGGCGGAAUCACUGGGCUUAAAGCGUGUGUAGGCGGGCGGGCAAGUACCUUGUGAAAUCCCACGGCUCAACCGUGGAACUGCUGGGUAUACUGGGUGCCUUGGGUCAUCUAGGGGCUGCCGGAACAAAUGGUGGAGCGGUGAAAUGCGUAGAUAUCAUUUGGAACGCCAACGGCGAAAGCAGGCAGCUGGGGAUGCACCGACGCUGAGACACGAAAGCCAGGGGAGCGAACGGG